Molecule: long non-coding RNA, 1812 nt
Filed under: Lathyrus oleraceus (garden pea)
Lineage: Eukaryota; Viridiplantae; Streptophyta; Magnoliopsida; Fabales; Fabaceae
Description: Pisum sativum (pea) long non-coding RNA (PSAT_LNC007737)
Source: RNAcentral
UGAUUUUCAAUUUUUUUAAUCUUGGAAGGAAUGUACAUUUUCUUUAGAAACACAUUAUUAUUCAUUUCAAGGGGUCCAUUUUCAUUUCAAAAACAUCCAAUGGCAUUACACAAUGUCACGAAUCAAAUUACAUAAAAAUUACAUGUUUUGACAUAGAGUUGACUUUUAGUCAACUAUUGACUUUUUGGUCAAACAGUUGACCAAAGUCAACUACCUAUCCUAAAUCCUAUCCUAAUUCUUCUUCACUCACAAGUUAUCAUAUUUUUGUGAGUCUUUAAAGCCUUCAAGUUCUUCAUUAUUGUUGAUGUUGAUCCAUGUCUUUAGGACCAAAAUACCAUGCCAAAGUCUUGUUCAUCCUACCAUGUACCAUCCCAAUGAACUCAUAUAAAAAAUGCACAAUUAGAACUCAUACAAGCAUAUCCAUGACAUUUACACAUUCAUGCAUACACACACAUUCAAGCCUAGCAAGUCAUUUUCAAUCUCCUAAUAACUAACCUUCCAAUUACUAAUCCAAACUAACUCACCAAAAUAGAUUUCAAAAUUGACAGUCCUAACAUACUAACUAACAUAACAUCUCAACAUUCAACAAGUUCUAUAAACCUUUCAUUUAACUUCUACAAAUUUCACAAUCAAUUAAAAUUAUCUAAAUUAACUCACUAAUAAUCUAGGAAUCACUAACGGUUCAAUAUCAUUAACAAACCAAUUCAAACCUAAUGCCAUACUAGUUCAAAGUAAUUCACAACCAAGCAUCAACAAACAUCCACCUACAUUUCCUCUUGAUUGAGUUCUAAUCACUCAUUGGUUUCCAACUAACUUAACAACAUUUCACAACAUUCCAUUAAGUAACUUUCGCGACAUUCACUAAUUAUUUCAGAUUAGCAUCAAACUAACUAACUAACCGAAGAGUUAACAUAGUUAGUACUUGCAACUUAUUUUCUCUUGGAUUCAACUAACAUUAACAGUUCCCUAACCAUAACAAACUCUACCAAUAAAAUUUCCUUAAGCAGUUACAUGAACCCCCUAUAUAAUCUCAUAGUCUCUUCAAACUUCUUCAACCUUGAUCACAUUUUACAACUUCACUCUCAUCAUUCUUUCUCUAUCUUAAUUCAUCUUCUUCAAUCACCUCACUACAAGGCCCGAUUCCAUUAUAAUUGAGCAAGCUUCACAUUGAAGCUUGUUGCAACUGAGCUUAGACUGCACUCUAUUACACUUUUUACACCUAACAUCAUCAACAACAACAUGAAUUUUGACCCUACAAGCUAAAUUCAAGAAGAAGAAGAAGAAGAAGAAGAGAUUGCUGCAAAAAUGAGUAAGGAUUUGAAGUAUUACUUGAAUAUUUCUAGUCUUAUUUAUUCUCUAGCUUCAUCAUCACCACCUUCAAUGAACACCAAGGCAGCCUCCUCCUUGUAGGUAACUCCAAUUUUUCAUUUUCUUGCUUCAAUUUUGUUGCCACAAUGUAGUAUUGAAGUAGAUGAACCAAACCCCUAAGGGUUGAGUUCGAUUUAGACAUCCAUCUCCAUUUAAUUUCAUGUUAAGUAUUAGGGUUCUGCAACUAAUUUAGGUGAUUUGGGGAGAUUGGGGAAAAUUCGAUGAAACGGGUAUGAGAAACAAAGAUAGGAGGUUAAGAGGAUCACUCUUUUGGUGGUUUAGGGUUCAUCUAAAAUGAUCCGCCACCUCCGACGCGACAGAGUGUUUUCUGGUGGGAGGAAUACUUGAGAGAGGAAAAGGUUAACAAGCUAAAUUGAAUGAGGUUUUUGAUCACCACUCUUCCUUUGCCCUUGCACAUUGUGUCUAACCCCAACACCAAGCCCG